RNAcentral lists this ribosomal RNA (543 nucleotides) under uncultured bacterium. RNAcentral describes it as "bacterial SSU rRNA". It matches the Rfam family "Bacterial small subunit ribosomal RNA", at positions 9 to 537 of the family's 1533-position model. The record is from RNAcentral.
CGAGUUUGAUCCUGGCUCAGGACGAACGCUGGCGGCGUGCCUAAUACAUGCAAGUCGAGCGAAUCUUUAGGAGCUUGCUCCUAUUGGUUAGCGGCGGACGGGUGAGUAACACGUGGGCAACCUGCCUAUAAGACUGGGAUAACACCGGGAAACCGGUGCUAAUACCGGAUAAUCCUUUUCCUCUCAUGAGGGAAAGCUGAAAGACGGUUUACGCUGUCACUUAUAGAUGGGCCCGCGGCGCAUUAGCUAGUUGGUGAGGUAACGGCUCACCAAGGCAACGAUGCGUAGCCGACCUGAGAGGGUGAUCGGCCACACUGGGACUGAGAUACGGCCCAGACUCCUACGGGAGGCAGCAGUGGGGAAUAUUGCACAAUGGGCGCAAGCCUGAUGCAGCGACGCCGCGUGGGGGAUGACGGCCUUCGGGUUGUAAACCUCUUUCACCAUCGGCGAAGCCGUGGGGUUUUCUCUUCGGUGACGGUAGGUGGAGAAGAAGCACCGGCCAACUACGUGCCAGCAGCCGCGGUAAUAAGUUUCCCUGUGUGA